AGAGUUUGAUCCUGGCUCAGAACGAACGCUGGCGGCGUGGAUAAGACAUGCAAGUCGAACGGGAUAUUAUUUGUAGCAAUACAAAUGAUGUCUAGUGGCGUAAGGGUGCGUAACACGUGGGGAAUCUGCCGAGAAGUGGGGGAUAGCUCGCCGAAAGGCGAAUUAAUACCGCAUGUGGUUAGUGAGGACAUCCUCACGACACCAAAGCCGGGGCAACCUGGCGCUUCUUGAUGACCCCGCGGCCUAUCAGCUAGUUGGUGAGGUAACGGCUCACCAAGGCUAUGACGGGUAGCUGGUCUGAGAGGACGACCAGCCACACUGGAACUGAGACACGGUCCAGACACCUACGGGUGGCAGCAGUCGAGAAUUUUUCUCAAUGGGGGAAACCCUGAAGGAGCGACGCCGCGUGGAGGAUGAAGGUCUUCGGAUUGUAAACUCCUGUCAUUUGGGAACAAGUUGCAUCGAUUAACUGUCGAUGCAUUGAUAGUACCAGAAGAGGAAGAGACGGCUAACUCUGUGCCAGCAGCCGCGGUAAUACAGAGGUCUCAAGCGUUGUUCGGAUUCAUUGGGCGUAAAGGGUGCGUAGGUGGCGGGGUUAGUCAGGUGUGAAAUCUCGGAGCUCAACUCCGAAACUGCACUUGAUACUGCCUUGCUAGAGUACUGGAGAGGAGAUUGGAAUUUACGGUGUAGCAGUGAAAUGCGUAGAUAUCGUAAGGAAGACCAGUGGCGAAGGCGAAUCUCUGGACAGUUACUGACACUGAGGCACGAAGGCCAGGGGAGCAAACGGGAUUAGAUACCCC
This 800-nucleotide ribosomal RNA is filed under the name uncultured bacterium. RNAcentral's name for it is "bacterial SSU rRNA". It matches the Rfam family "Bacterial small subunit ribosomal RNA", at positions 8 to 788 of the family's 1533-position model. The record is from RNAcentral.